This 25-nucleotide transfer RNA is filed under the name Tricholepidozia tetradactyla. Its description in RNAcentral is "partial tRNA-Phe". RNAcentral also lists the same sequence under 1 other name. Lineage: Eukaryota; Viridiplantae; Streptophyta; Jungermanniopsida; Jungermanniales; Lepidoziaceae. The record is from RNAcentral.
GCCGGAAUAGCUCAGUCGGUAGAGC